GACGGAGGGUGCGAGCGUUGUCCGGAAUCACUGGGCGUAAAGGGCGCGUAGGCGGCCUGAUAAGUAGGGGGUGAAAUCCUGCGGCUUAACCGCAGGGCUGCCUUCUAAACUGUCAGGCUUGAGCACAGUAGAGGCAGGUGGAAUUCCCGGUGUAGCGGUGGAAUGCGUAGAGAUCGGGAAGAACAUCAGUGGCGAAGGCGGCCUGCUGGGCUGUGCUGACGCUGAGGCGCGACAGCGUGGGGAGCAAACAGG
Molecule: ribosomal RNA, 252 nt
Filed under: uncultured bacterium
Lineage: Bacteria
Description: partial 16S ribosomal RNA
Rfam family: Bacterial small subunit ribosomal RNA
Source: RNAcentral